GUUUCUCAGCCUGGCACAGGGAGUACCCAGCUGGGGUGGGCAUGUGGGGCUGCCCACCACCCACAGAGCAAAGUCCCUCUGCAGUUGCUCACAACACACUGCGAGGCAGUGGCAUUUUUCUCCAUUGUGGGUUGGCACCUGAUGGAAUACCUUAAAAUUCAGCAAUUUCCCUUGCUCUCCAGCCCCAUCUUCAUGCAUUCAUGUUUUGUUUGUGCAAAUAAAUGUAUGAAGCUUUGUUCUUGCUAUAUUCCCUUCUCACAGACUAAGACUAUAAAGCAGGAAGAGAGAAGACAGCAUAGUCUGCACAAAGGGAUGAAUGAAAGAGGGAGGGAAAGAGCCCUGUGGCCUGGGCCACUGUCCUUCCUCAACAUUAUGGGGUCAUCAGCAGAACUGGCACUCUCUGAAGUCACCCAGGAUCAAGGGAAUCUGGGGCUGUAGCCAUUAACAUCCUGCGCUGGGUCUGCCUGCGUUUUCAAGAAGUAAUCCAGCUUCUCUCUGCAGUCUGGGCUAAAUCCUUAGCCAAAUCAUUGCUUGGGUGAGAGUUGGCUUAUGAGCCUGUGUCUGCAUUGCUGGAUCCAUACGAAAAUGUGGAGAUCCUGAGGUACCUGAUGGCAAGUCUCAUGGAUCCUGUGAACAUCCAGAACUAGCCUGGCUGGCUGUGGUACAGUCCUUGGGACUUUCCAGGAGACGUGCUUCAGCCCUCUGAUCAUUUUGUGGCCCUCUUCUGGAUCUGCU
Gallus gallus (chicken) is the source of this 735-nucleotide long non-coding RNA. Lineage: Eukaryota; Metazoa; Chordata; Aves; Galliformes; Phasianidae. The record is from Ensembl.